This is a non-coding RNA of Gossypium hirsutum (cotton), 144 nucleotides long. The record is from Rfam. Lineage: Eukaryota; Viridiplantae; Streptophyta; Magnoliopsida; Malvales; Malvaceae.
AAUUAAAUUUUUCAUCUAUUUCUACUAUUAAAAACUGGCUUGGUUGACGCAAUAAUCAAACAAUUACACAUGGCAUGUCACAUAUACCUCAUAUCGACUUACAUGGACUGUUUUAACAAUAGAAAUUGAUGAAAACUUUUAACA